Molecule: ribosomal RNA, 353 nt
Filed under: Cochlicella acuta
Lineage: Eukaryota; Metazoa; Mollusca; Gastropoda; Stylommatophora; Geomitridae
Description: partial large subunit ribosomal RNA
Source: RNAcentral
UGUGCAAAGGUAGCAUAAUCAAUUGGCUUGUAAUUUAAGUCUGGUAUGAAUGUAGUUUUAGGCUAAAGCUGUCUCUUUAUAUUAAUUGGAAUUUAUUUAGCCGGUGAAAAUGCCGGCAGUUAAAUAAUAGACGAGAAGACCCUAGAAAUUUUUUGAAAGGUAUAAAUAGUAUGUAUUGGAUUUUGUUGGGGCGACAGAGUAACAGUUUAAACUUACUCUAUUUAAUGUGAAUUAGUUAUGGAAGUGUAAAUUACUCUAGGGAUAACAGCAUAAUUCUAUUAGUGUUUGUGACCUCGAUGUUGGACUAGGAAAGAUGAUAUUCAGAAGAUAUUAUUAUAGGCUCUGUUCGCGCC